RNAcentral lists this long non-coding RNA (802 nucleotides) under Olea europaea subsp. europaea. The record is from RNAcentral. Lineage: Eukaryota; Viridiplantae; Streptophyta; Magnoliopsida; Lamiales; Oleaceae.
GUUUCAUCUGCAAUUAUUUCUCCCCUUAAGGAAUUCUAAGAAUUGUUUUUUUUAUGGAUACAUCUCUGCUAUUCGUAGUAGAUUUUGACGAAUUGGAGUAAUUUAUCUGCAAUUAAAAUAAAUGAAUUGUGUUGUUAACUCCCUGAACUUCACAAAAUUAUUCAAAUCCACAAUGUAAAAAGUAAAGUUGACCUAUUUGAGAAGUGCUUGUAAACUGUUUAAUAAAUUAUAAUAGAUAGGAACCAAUAAUAGAUAAGUGUGUAGUAUUUGUGGUUCCAUAAAAUGUGUGGAUAUAAAUGGUUCGAUCAAUAAUAAAUGGUUUGUUAUAGUUACAUCGAAAUAUAAAAGAUUUCACAAUAGCUAGCACUCAAAAGGACAUUUUGAGCGAGUACUAUAAUUAAAAUGGUUUUAAAGAUGUCAUUAAUUCCUUUAUAAUGCACUGAGGUAUGGUAGAAAUGUAAGUUUUACUUUGUAUUUUUUUCUCCUAUUGCAAUUUGUUAAUUCUGUCCAGUUGCCAACUUAAAGGACAUGUUUGGCAUACACUUAGAUUAGAUUUUUGUACACAAAAAUCAAUUCAUAAUUUAGCGGAUCUUGUCACGAUCCUCUUAUUAGACCAAUUACAAUGCAGAAAAAAUGAUUAAAUUGUUUGUUAUCCUGUUAAACAAAUGUAUACUAAAUGCCCUCAUUUCAUCACUUAAUUUUUUCCCUUGUGUGGAUAAUGAUUUAGAUAAUAAAAUGACAUAUGGUUCUUAAAUUGACUGGUAGACAUGGUUCUUCGAUCUAUAUAGAGGUUCUUGCAAAU